Molecule: ribosomal RNA, 232 nt
Filed under: uncultured bacterium
Lineage: Bacteria
Description: partial 16S ribosomal RNA
Rfam family: Bacterial small subunit ribosomal RNA
Source: RNAcentral
GAUCAUGGCUCAGGAUGAACGCUAGCUACAGGCUUAACACAUGCAAGUCGAGGGGAAACGACAUCGAAAGCUUGCUUUUGAUGGGCGUCGACCGGCGCACGGGUGAGUAACGCGUAUCCAACCUGCCCAUCACUUGGGAAUAACCUUGCGAAGGUAAGACUAAUGCCCAAUGAUAUCCCACGAAGGCAUCCGAAUGGGAUUAAAGAUUUAUCUGUGAUGGAUGGGGAUGCGU